AAGGUUGUAGCUGGCCUCUCAAGGCACGUGCACGCCCGAGCCCUUGAAUCCCACGACACACCUGUGAACCCACCGUAGGCCUUCGGGCUUAUGCAUCGUUAAUAUUACGCCGUAUGUGACAUAGAAUGUUAGAGACGAAUGGGAAAAAUGAUAAUACAACUUUCAACAACGGAUCUCUUGGCUCUCGCAUCGAUGAAGAACGCAGCGAAAUGCGAUAAGUAAUGUGAAUUAGCAGAUUUUCAGUGAAUCAUCGAAUCUUUGAACGCACCUUGCGCCCCUUGGUAUUCCGAGGGGCAUGCCUGUUUGAGUGUCAUUAAAUCCCUCAACCCCUCAGGGGGCUUGGACUUUUGGAGCGUGCUGGCGGUGAUCGUCGGCUCCUCUUUAAAUGCAUCAGCGGAACCCUCGUUCCCCGUUUCGGCGUGAUAGAUCUAUGUUGCGCCGCGUAGGGGGUGGUCAAGUGGUUUUUCCGCUUCC
This 474-nucleotide unclassified non-coding RNA is filed under the name uncultured fungus. Its description in RNAcentral is "partial contains ITS1, 5.8S rRNA and ITS2". The stretch from base 158 to 313 matches the Rfam family "5.8S ribosomal RNA". The record is from RNAcentral. Lineage: Eukaryota; Fungi.